AAACCAACAGGGAUUGCCUUAGUAACGGCGAGUGAAGCGGCAAAAGCUCAAAUUUGAAAUCUGGCACUUUCAGUGUCCGAGUUGUAAUUUGAAGAAGGUAACUCUGGAGUUGGCCCUUGUCUAUGUUCCUUGGAACAGGACGUCACAGAGGGUGAGAAUCCCGUGCGAUGGGGUGUCCAAUUCUAUGUAGAGUGCUUUCGAAGAGUCGAGUUGUUUGGGAAUGCAGCUCUAAGUGGGUGGUAAAUUCCAUCUAAAGCUAAAUAUUGGCGAGAGACCGAUAGCGAACAAGUACAGUGAUGGAAAGAUGAAAAGAACUUUGAAAAGAGAGUGAAAAAGUACGUGAAAUUGUUGAAAGGGAAGGGCUUGAGAUCAGACUCGGUAUUUUGCGAUCCUAUCCUUCGUGGAGAGGUUUCACUUGCAGCUUACCGGGCCAGCAUCGGUUUGGAUGGUAGGAUAAUGACAUUGGAAUGUGGCUUUUCGGAGUGUUAUAGCCUUUGUUGAUACUGCCUAUCUAGACCGAGGACUGCGUUCUUUGACUAGGAUGCUGGCAUAAUGAUCUUAAGCCGCCCGUCUUGAAACACGGACC
Molecule: ribosomal RNA, 586 nt
Filed under: [Candida] sp. ST-380
Lineage: Eukaryota; Fungi; Ascomycota; Saccharomycetes; Saccharomycetales
Description: eukaryotic LSU rRNA
Rfam family: Eukaryotic large subunit ribosomal RNA
Source: RNAcentral